GUAUUCACUUUCAUAGGACGAGUUAGUAAUAAUAGUAUGCUUCUUAGCUUGCAAAAAAAUUAAGUUCUUCCUAAAAAUAUUGUGAACACUUGUGGAAACCAACCGUCAACGUGUCAUAUCCAAUCUAGAUUAGAGAAAACCUAAAUGGCCAUUACCGAGUGGAAUAAAGCUCAUGCAAAAGUUACCAUGUCAUGGAGAUAUCUUAAUGCCCUUUAUACUGUGCUAAAUAUUUCAAA
Molecule: long non-coding RNA, 236 nt
Filed under: Carica papaya (papaya)
Lineage: Eukaryota; Viridiplantae; Streptophyta; Magnoliopsida; Brassicales; Caricaceae
Description: long non-coding RNA (CPAP_LNC003724)
Source: RNAcentral